AGUGAACGCUGGCGGUAGGCCUAACACAUGCAAGUCGAACGGCAGCACAGUAAGAGCUUGCUCUUACGGGUGGCGAGUGGCGGACGGGUGAGGAAUACAUCGGAAUCUACUUUUUCGUGGGGGAUAACGUAGGGAAACUUACGCUAAUACCGCAUACGACCUACGGGUGAAAGCAGGGGAUCUUCGGACCUUGCGCGAUUGAAUGAGCCGAUGUCGGAUUAGCUAGUUGGCGGGGUAAAGGCCCACCAAGGCGACGAUCCGUAGCUGGUCUGAGAGGAUGAUCAGACACACUGGAACUGAGACACGGUCCAGACUCCUACGGGAGGCAGCAGUGGGGAAUAUUGGACAAGGGGCGCAAGCCUGAUCCAGCCAUACCGCGUGGGUGAAGAAGGCCUUCGGGUUGUAGAGCCCUUUUGUUGGGAAAGAAAAGCAGCAGGUUAAUACCCCGCUGUUCUGACGGUACCCAAAGAAUAAGCACCGGCUAACUUCGUG
This 492-nucleotide ribosomal RNA is filed under the name uncultured bacterium. Its description in RNAcentral is "partial 16S ribosomal RNA". It matches the Rfam family "Bacterial small subunit ribosomal RNA", at positions 29 to 507 of the family's 1533-position model. The record is from RNAcentral.